CGCUGCAGGGGUGCACAGGGGCGCACACGCGGGCCGGGGGCACCUAAGCGCCACCGGCUCCCAGCCAAGUGCCUCCAACUACCGGAGUUUGAGUUUGAAAACACACGCUGCAUUUCGCCUCUGGAGGUACAGAACAUCUCAGAAGGGGGGAAAAUCCCUGAGUCAGAUUCCUGCAUUCCACCCUGCACACUCUACCCCCAUUCCGGCGAGCUCCAACCCAGCGCGCUCUCCUCACCCUUGCAAGAGUCAGGGCCCCUCCUCCCCGGGCCACCUUAGGGCCACCUACCUGGCUCAGACAGACACAGCGCAGGUCAGACGCGCUAGACUGCACCCCCCGGGGUCCGCCUGGGGCAAGUGCAGGGACACUUAACUUAAAAAGGCAUCCGUCUGACCACACACAGCUGGAGGCUUGGAGGUGUCCUGUUUUCUAUCCGCCAGUGCAGCGUGUGGACCCUGGGCCUGGGCACACGGGAGGCUCUUCUUGGGCAGCAAAGGGAUGCUGGAGCUGCUGCAGCCAUUUUGGCACUUUGAGGGCCACCUUCCUUGGCUCAAAAUGAAAAUUUCCGUCAUCUUUUGCAGAUGCUCUGAGAGCAUCGAGAAGCUCUAAGCUCCAGA
This is a non-coding RNA of Callorhinus ursinus (northern fur seal), 615 nucleotides long. Lineage: Eukaryota; Metazoa; Chordata; Mammalia; Carnivora; Otariidae. The record is from RefSeq and is a predicted model, not a curated record.